Molecule: ribosomal RNA, 751 nt
Filed under: uncultured Acinetobacter sp.
Lineage: Bacteria; Pseudomonadati; Pseudomonadota; Gammaproteobacteria; Moraxellales; Moraxellaceae
Description: bacterial SSU rRNA
Rfam family: Bacterial small subunit ribosomal RNA
Source: RNAcentral
AUUGAACGCUGGCGGCAGGCUUAACACAUGCAAGUCGAGCGGGGAAGGGUAGCUUGCUACCUGACCUAGCGGCGGACGGGUGAGUAAUGCUUAGGAAUCUGCCUAUUAGUGGGGGACAACAUUCCGAAAGGAAUGCUAAUACCGCAUACGCCCUACGGGGGAAAGCAGGGGAUCUUCGGACCUUGCGCUAAUAGAUGAGCCUAAGUCAGAUUAGCUAGUUGGUGGGGUAAAGGCCUACCAAGGCGACGAUCUGUAGCGGGUCUGAGAGGAUGAUCCGCCACACUGGGACUGAGACACGGCCCAGACUCCUACGGGAGGCAGCAGUGGGGAAUAUUGGACAAUGGGCGCAAGCCUGAUCCAGCCAUGCCGCGUGUGUGAAGAAGGCCUUUUGGUUGCAAAGCACUUUAAGCGAGGAGGAGGCUACUUGGAUUAAUACUCUAGGAUAGUGGACGUUACUCGCAGAAUAAGCACCGGCUAACUCUGUGCCAGCAGCCGCGGUAAUACAGAGGGUGCGAGCGUUAAUCGGAUUUACUGGGCGUAAAGCGUGCGUAGGCGGCUUUUUAAGUCGGAUGUGAAAUCCCUGAGCUAACUUAGGAAUUGCAUUCGAUACUGGGAAGCUAGAGUAUGGGAGAGGAUGGUAUAAUUCCAGGUGUAGCGGUGAAAUGCGUAGAGAUCUGGAGGAAUACCGAUGGCGAAGGCAGCCAUCUGGUCUAAUACUGACGCUGAGGUACGAAAGCAUGGGAGCAAAAUG